This 921-nucleotide ribosomal RNA is filed under the name uncultured bacterium. RNAcentral describes it as "bacterial SSU rRNA". It matches the Rfam family "Bacterial small subunit ribosomal RNA", at positions 29 to 946 of the family's 1533-position model. The record is from RNAcentral.
UUGAACGCUGGCGGAAUGCUUUACACAUGCAAGUCGAGCGGCAGCGCGGGGCAACCUGGCGGCGAGCGGCGAACGUGUGAGUAACAUAUCGGAACGUAUCCAUAAGUGGGGGACAACCUAGCGAAAGUUAGGCUAAUACCGCAUACGCAGGAGACUGGAAAGUGGGGGAUCGCAAGACCUCACGCUUUAGGAGCGGCCGAUAUCAGAUUAGCUAGAUGGUGAGGUAAAGGCUUACCAUGGCGACGAUCUGUAGCUGGUCUGAGAGGAUGAUCAGCCACACUGGGACUGAGACACGGCCCAGACUCCUACGGGAGGCAGCAGUGGGGAAUUUUGGACAAUGGGGGCAACCCUGAUCCAGCCAUUCCGCGUGAGUGAAGAAGGCCUUCGGGUUGUAAAGCUCUUUUGUUCGGGACGAAACGGUUUCACCUAAUACGUGAGACUACUGACGGUACCGGAAGAAUAAGCACCGGCUAACUACGUGCCAGCAGCCGCGGUAAUACGUAGGGUGCGAGCGUUAAUCGGAAUUACUGGGCGUAAAGCGUGCGCAGGCGGUUUUAUAAGCCAGAUGUGAAAGCCCCGGGCUCAACCUGGGAAUGGCAUUUGGGACUGUAAGGCUGGAGUAUGGCAGAGGAGACUAGAAUUCCUGGUGUAGCAGUGAAAUGCGUAGAUAUCAGGAGGAACACCGAUGGCGAAGGCAGCCCCCUGGGCCAAUACUGACGCUCAUGCACGAAAGCGUGGGUAGCAAACAGGAUUAGAUACCCUGGUAGUCCACGCCCUAAACGAUGUCAACUAGGUGUUGGGUGGGUAAAACCAUUUAGUACCGGAGCUAACGUGUGAAGUUGACCGCCUGGGGAGUACGGCCGCAAGGUUAAAACUCAAAGGAAUUGACGGGGACCCGCACAAGCGGUGGAUGAUGUGGAU